AGUGAACGCUGGCGGUAGGCCUAACACAUGCAAGUCGAACGGCAGCACAGUAAGAGCUUGCUCUUACGGGUGGCGAGUGGCGGACGGGUGAGGAAUACAUCGGAAUCUACUUUUUCGUGGGGGAUAACGUAGGGAAACUUACGCUAAUACCGCAUACGACCUACGGGUGAAAGCAGGGGAUCUUCGGACCUUGCGCGAUUGAAUGAGCCGAUGUCGGAUUAGCUAGUUGGCGGGGUAAAGGCCCACCAACGCGACGAUCCGUAGCUGGUCUGAGAGGAUGAUCAGCCACACUGGAACUGAUACACGGUCCAGACUCCUACGGGAGGCAGCAGUGGGGAAUAUUGGACAAUGGGCGCAAGCCUGAUCCAGCCAUACCGCGUGGGUGAAGAAGGCCUUCGGGUUGUAAAGCCCUUUUGUUGGGAAAGAAAAGCAGCAGGUUAAUACCCCGCUGUUCUGACGGUACCCAAAGAAUAAGCACCGGCUAACUUCGUG
Molecule: ribosomal RNA, 492 nt
Filed under: uncultured bacterium
Lineage: Bacteria
Description: partial 16S ribosomal RNA
Rfam family: Bacterial small subunit ribosomal RNA
Source: RNAcentral